CUGUACUGUACUGUGUAUAUUGAGAUGCAGUGACAAUGUUUUGAAGGCCCGACAGAUGUCUAAAAUUGCUUUCAGUCAUUUCUUUUGAACUUUGGUGGAUAUCUUUUUUUUAAUUUUAACUAUAGAUGGAAUGCUGGUAAAAGAUGUGUUGGCUAGCCUUAUUAUGUCAUAACACCUUACUUUAGAAUCUUAAGUUUGAGGUCUGUCUGAUUCGUUUUUAAUUUACAUGUAACAGUGUAUAUACAUGUAUAGGACUCUGCGGUGUAAUGUUAACGCUGACGGCUGAAGCAUAAUUAAUGGUCACCCUGAAAACGAUAGACUGCGCUGAAGUUUGGGCAUGACAAUUUUUUAUUCCAU
Molecule: long non-coding RNA, 357 nt
Filed under: Mytilus galloprovincialis (Mediterranean mussel)
Lineage: Eukaryota; Metazoa; Mollusca; Bivalvia; Mytilida; Mytilidae
Source: RNAcentral